RNAcentral lists this ribosomal RNA (492 nucleotides) under uncultured bacterium. RNAcentral describes it as "partial 16S ribosomal RNA". It matches the Rfam family "Bacterial small subunit ribosomal RNA", at positions 29 to 507 of the family's 1533-position model. The record is from RNAcentral.
AGUGAACGCUCGCGGUAGGCCUAACACAUGCAAGUCGAACGGCAGCACAGUAAGAGCUUGCUCUUACGGGUGGCGAGUGGCGGACGGGUGAGGAAUACAUCGGAAUCUACUUUUUCGUGGGGGAUAACGUAGGGAAACUUACGCUAAUACCGCAUACGACCUACGGGUGAAAGCAGGGGAUCUUCGGACCUUGCGCGAUUGAAUGAGCCGAUGUCGGAUUAGCUAGUUGGCGGGGUAAAGGCCCACCAAGUCGAGGAUCCGUAGCUGGUGUGAGAGGAUGAUCAGCCACACUGGAACUGAGACACGGUCCAGACUCCUACGGGAGGCAGCAGUGGGGAAUAUUGGACAAUGGGCGCAAGCCUGAUCCAGCCAUACCGCGUGGGUGAAGAAGGCCUUCGGGUUGUAAAGCCCUUUUGUUGGGAAAGAAAAGCAGCAGGUUAAUACCCCGCUGUUCUGACGGUACCCAAAGAAUAAGCACCGGCUAACUUCGUG